UCUUCCGUAGUCUAGUGGUCAUGAUUUCCGCUUGUCAUUUCAAGUCGCCUUCAAGCGCUUGAGUGCGCGGACGGCCCGGGUUCGAUUCCCGGCGGGAGAG
This is a non-coding RNA of Trichodelitschia bisporula, 100 nucleotides long. NCBI's taxonomy places the organism in Eukaryota, Fungi, Ascomycota, Dothideomycetes, Phaeotrichales, Phaeotrichaceae. The record is from the annotation of a GenBank genome assembly.